GAUGAACGCUAGCGGCAGGCUUAAUACAUGCAAGUCGAGGGGCAGCAGGGGUGUAGCAAUACAUCUGCUGGCGACCGGCAAACGGGUGCGGAACACGUACGCAACUUACCCAUAACUGGGGGGAUAGCCCGGGGAAACCCGGAUUAAUACCUCGUAAGAUAAUGGAGUGGCAUCACUUUUAUAUUAUAGCUCCGGCGGUUAUGGAUGGGCGUGCGGCUGAUUAGGUAGUUGGUGCGGGUAACGGCCCACCAAGCCUGCGAUCAGUAACUGGUGUGAGAGCACGACCAGUCACACGGGCACUGAGACACGGGCCCGACUCCUACGGGAGCAGCAGUAAGGAAUAUUGGGCAAUGGACGCAAGUUCUGAACCAGCCAUGCCGCGUGAAGGAUGAAGGUCCUC
This 400-nucleotide ribosomal RNA is filed under the name uncultured bacterium. Its description in RNAcentral is "bacterial SSU rRNA". It matches the Rfam family "Bacterial small subunit ribosomal RNA", at positions 28 to 419 of the family's 1533-position model. The record is from RNAcentral.